This 378-nucleotide ribosomal RNA is filed under the name uncultured bacterium. RNAcentral describes it as "bacterial SSU rRNA". It matches the Rfam family "Bacterial small subunit ribosomal RNA", at positions 521 to 896 of the family's 1533-position model. The record is from RNAcentral.
UAAGACGAACCGUGCGAACGUUAUUCGGAAUCACUGGGCCUAAAGCGCGUGUAGGCGGGCCGGCACGUCCGACGCUGAAAUCCCCCGGCUCAACCGGGGAAGGGGCGCGGAUACGACCGGCCUGGAGGGGGGUAGGGGGAGCGGGAACUGCCGGUGGAGCGGUGAAAUGCGUUGAGAUCGGCAGGAACGCCCGCGGCGAAAGCGCGCUCCUGGACCCCACCUGACGCUGAGACGCGAAAGCCAGGGGAGCGAACGGGAUUAGAUACCCCGGUAGUCCUGGCCGUAAACCAUGGGCACUGGGUAGGGGACUCGCCGAUGGGUUCCCUGCCGCAGCGAAGGCGUGAAGUGCCCCGCCUGGGGAGUAUGGUCGCAAGGCUG